This is a long non-coding RNA of Peromyscus eremicus (cactus mouse), 648 nucleotides long. RefSeq lists it as uncharacterized. NCBI's taxonomy places the organism in Eukaryota, Metazoa, Chordata, Mammalia, Rodentia, Cricetidae. The record is from RefSeq and is a predicted model, not a curated record. The transcript has 5 exons.
CAGAGACAUCUAAAACCAGUAAUUUAGACAAGCAAAGUAUUAAAGGAACAAAUACCCUGCGCAAGUCAAACUCUGCCUUGAAGAAACGUGUGCCCAAAGGGCAGCCUAAACCUACAACAUUAGACAAGAAAGGUGUUGGCCUUCCAAAUAAUCUGGUUUCUUCAACAUCUGCCUCCAGUAAGCACAGGUUUAAAGGCUGAGUGUGAAAACUCAGAUGAAAAGGAUUUUAAACUCCCAAAUAAUCUGUGCCCUUCUGCCUCUACUACAAGGAAGCAUCUCCUUAAAGCAUUAAAUACUAUUCUGUGACAGUGGGCUGCACAUCCAGACUUGAGAGAAAGAGUCCCAAGGGCAAGCAUCAGGAAGCUGUUCAUGGACACAGUGAGGCAGAGUGACCUGGGAACCGAUAUGUGGGGAGCCUGUGAGUGGACAAUGCUUACGGAACAGCAGUGCACAAGACCCCUGAUGACCAGGGAAGGACCAGAUCAUGAGAGUCCUUCAAAGGCAACAGAACCCCACUUCACUCUUUGGAACAGCCUGAACCUCCAAGAUCACCCUCUUGUUGCUGACAUUCCAACUUGCUCUGCCGAGAUAAGAUCCCUACAGUACCUUCUGGUGUGGUGUAAACGCAAUUAAACGACAUUUGUGCUC